AUAAAACCUACGUAAAGUGGUAUGGUGGGGUUUGGAUUGAAGCAGAGAUUUGUUACCUAGUCAGGCCCUGGAGAUGAUCAGAUUGUUCAGUGCUGACACAAUACCUAAAAGCUUGUAACUGAGAACACUCAUAUAGCCACAUAAUCUGCCUGAACUCAGAAAAAUGGUGUCAUAAACUUACUUUGUCUCAGUCAUAUGAACAUCUCUUGCCCGUUUGAAGUAUAUUUUCUAUCUAUUAAAUUAUGAGAGCGUUACUGGCAUUAGCAUUUAGGAUCUACCAGGUGAGGAAGAAGAAAUAAUUAUUUAUACAAAAGGAAUCUUUAGUUUAUAACAAUUUUCUUGGCGUCAUAAACAAUAUCUUACUUAAUUAACAAUUUUAUAUUAACUUAAAUAUAAUUGAAUUGCUAAAUUUAUCAAAACUCAACUCAAAAUCCCAAACAGCUAAACCAAGGAAUCCUCGAGAGCAAGCGCUGA
Molecule: unclassified non-coding RNA, 474 nt
Filed under: Hevea brasiliensis (rubber tree)
Lineage: Eukaryota; Viridiplantae; Streptophyta; Magnoliopsida; Malpighiales; Euphorbiaceae
Source: RNAcentral